GAUGAACGCUGGCGGCGUGCCUAAUACAUGCAAGUCGAGCGCACGGACGAGAAGCUUGCUUCUCUGAUGUUAUCGGCGGACGGGUGAGUAACUCGUGGAUAACCUACCUAUUAGUCUGGGUUAACUUCGGGAAACCGGAGCUAAUACCGGAUGAUAUUUUGAACCGCAUGGUUCAAAAGUGAAAUACGGUCUUGCUGUCACUUCUAGAUGCAUCCGCUCUGCAUUAGCUAGUUGUUAAGGUAACGGCUUACCAAGGCAACGAUGCAUAGCCGACCUGCGAGGGUGAGCGGCCAAAAGGGAACAGAGACACGGAGCAGACACCUACGGGAGGCAGCAGUAGGGAAUCUUCCGAAAUGGGGGAAAGACUGACGGAACAACGCCGAGGGAGGGAAGAAGGGGUGAGGAUCGUAAAACUCUGUUAUUAGGGAAGAAGAGAGGUGUAAGUAACAGUGCACAGGGUGACGGUACCUAAUAAGAAAGCGACGGCUAAAUACGUG
RNAcentral lists this ribosomal RNA (497 nucleotides) under uncultured bacterium. Its description in RNAcentral is "partial 16S ribosomal RNA". It matches the Rfam family "Bacterial small subunit ribosomal RNA", at positions 28 to 507 of the family's 1533-position model. The record is from RNAcentral.